GUGGGGAAUUUUGGACAAUGGGCGCAAGCCUGAUCCAGCAAUGCCGCGUGCAGGAAGAAGGCCUUCGGGUUGUAAACUGCUUUUGUACGGAACGAAACGGUUCUCUCUAAUACAGGGGGCUAAUGACGGUACCGUAAGAAUAAGCACCGGCUAACUACGUGCCAGCAGCCGCGGUAAUACGUAGGGUGCAAGCGUUAAUCGGAAUUACUGGGCGUAAAGCGUGCGCAGGCGGUUUUGUAAGACAGAGGUGAAAUCCCCGGGCUCAACCUGGGAACUGCCUUUGGGACUGCAAGGCUGGAGUGCGGCAGAGGGGGAUGGAAUUCCGCGUGUAGCAGUGAAAUGCGUAGAUAUGCGGAGGAACACCGAUGGCGAAGGCAAUCCCCUGGGCCUGCACUGACGCUCAUGCACGAAAGCGUGGGGAGCAAACAGGAUUAGAAACCCUGGUAGUCC
RNAcentral lists this ribosomal RNA (450 nucleotides) under uncultured bacterium. RNAcentral's name for it is "partial 16S ribosomal RNA". It matches the Rfam family "Bacterial small subunit ribosomal RNA", at positions 354 to 796 of the family's 1533-position model. The record is from RNAcentral.